AAGAAAUCAGGCCAAGCAGCUGGGAGGGGACAAUGGCCACCAUCAGGCUCCUCCUCAAAUGCUUCACAUACUGCAGCAUGGCAAGCUUGCAAUGGCAGUGGAGGAUCUUCACUUCCUUUGAGGAACUAUGGAACGCAACCUUCUGAUCGUAGGCCUGCUGCCGUAGACAAUCGCGGGCCAUCAUCACAAACAUAUCCGAGAGAAAAUCCAGUUGUGUGGCCAGCUCUGGCAAAUGGUUCGCAGUUGUCAUCCAGGUCUCAUCCAUAUGGCCCUGAAAGCAAUAAGGACAAUGUUCCUUCAUCUAGUUUUGACCCCGAGGACAGCUCUGAAGUUGAGGAUUUGUCAGAUGAUGACAUUGAUGAUGAUAUGAGCGAGGAGGAUGAUUCUGAUGAAAGUGAAAAAAGUUUUGAGACUCAAAAAAAGAAUAAAUGGUUCAAGAAAUUCUUUGAAGUCAUCGAUACUUUAAAUGAGGAGCAAAUACAUGAUCAGACUAGGCCAUGGCAUUGUCCGGCAUGCCAAAAUGGACCUGGGGCAAUUGACUGGUUCAAUGGGCUACAAUCUUUAGUGAGACAUGCUAGAACGAAGGGCUCUAGAAGAGUUAAGCUCCACAGAGAAUUUGCCACAUUGCUAGAACAUGAGUUAGGAACUACACUGCUACCACCUGGUGAGCAAUUUGGGAAAUGGAAAGGAUUACGAGGAAGCACUGAUCGCGAGAUUGUAUGGCCACCAAUGGUUAUUGUCAUGAACACUUUACUGGAACAAGAUAAUGAUGACAAGUGGUUAGGCAUGGGCAAUGAAGAGCUUCUCGAUUAUUUCCAUGAAUAUGAUGCAAUCAAAGCACGACAUGCCUACGGUCCAGGUGGGCACCGUGGCAUGAGUGUGUUAAUAUUUGAAAGCUCUGCCGUGGGUUAUAUGGAUGCUGAACGUCUGCAUAAGCACUUCGUCGGUGAAAGAACAGACAGGGAAGCAUGGCAAGCUCCGUCUAAGCGUCGGUUCUUACCUGGUGGGAAAAGACUGUUAUAUGGUUUCUUAGCCAACAAAGAGGAUAUGGAGAUUUUCAAUAAGCACCACCCGGGAAAAAGUUGCCUGAAAUACGAUAUGAGAUCUUAUAAUGAAAUGGUAGUGGUAGGUAUGAAACAAAUGAGUCUAGACAAUCAGUGA
RNAcentral lists this ribosomal RNA (1161 nucleotides) under Triticum aestivum (bread wheat). Its description in RNAcentral is "partial small subunit ribosomal RNA". Lineage: Eukaryota; Viridiplantae; Streptophyta; Magnoliopsida; Poales; Poaceae. The record is from RNAcentral.